GAGAGGUUGGCCGAGUGGUUCAAGGCGGUAGAUUUAAGUUAUUUUCCUUAUAAGACUUGAAAUCCUCUACUUUCCGAAAGGAAGCGUGGGUUCGAACCCCACACCUCUCA
This is a transfer RNA of Fonsecaea multimorphosa CBS 102226, 110 nucleotides long. It matches the Rfam family "tRNA". From Rfam's summary of the family: Transfer RNA (tRNA) molecules are approximately 80 nucleotides in length. The record is from Rfam. NCBI's taxonomy places the organism in Eukaryota, Fungi, Ascomycota, Eurotiomycetes, Chaetothyriales, Herpotrichiellaceae.